UUAUUACUUAAUCUGAAGUUAAGUAUUUCAGAAGCUAGGGUACAUCAUGUAACUCUGGUCUUACAUACUUUACAGUCUUUAACUAGGAGUUCACCCAUUACUUCUCAAAUAACACACCCAUGUGUAUCUUUAUCUAUAGGCUGAAGUUCUCUAGAAGGAGAUGCUUCUACACUUCCUCCCCCAGAAGCUUCACCUGGAUGUUGCUGGAAGUGAAUGAAAUAAUUCUUAUUGACUUAUAUAUUACGAAGCAUGUUGUAGAGCUCCACUCCCUGAGCUAUUCUAUCCUCUUUGCAAAUGUAAAUUAAAUAUGUGGCUGGCUCAUAUCUGGAUCAUAUCCUCCUUCAUGGGAAGAAUGAAACGUCUGCCCACAAUGCUUCCAAGGACAACCCCUAGGCAAGACACAGUGAAUUUUAUACAUCUGGAACAGCUGGAACAUGCUGCCCAGAGAGGUUGUGGAUGCCCCGUCUAUAGACGUGUUCAAAACCAG
This 487-nucleotide long non-coding RNA is filed under the name Gallus gallus (chicken). Lineage: Eukaryota; Metazoa; Chordata; Aves; Galliformes; Phasianidae. The record is from RNAcentral.